AACGCUAGCUACAGGCUUAACACAUGCAAGUCGAGGGGAAACGACAUCGAAAGCUUGCUUUUGAUGGGCGUCGACCGGCGCACGGGUGAGUAACGCGUAUCCAACCUGCCCACCACUUGGGGAUAACCUUGCGAAAGUAAGACUAAUACCCAAUGACGUCUCUAGAAGACAUCUGAAAGAGAUUAAAGAUUUAUCGGUGAUGGAUGGGGAUGCGUCUGAUUAGCUUGUUGGCGGGGUAACGGCCCACCAAGGCGACGAUCAGUAGGGGUUCUGAGAGGAAGGUCCCCCACAUUGGAACUGAGACACGAUCCAAACUCCUACGGGAGGCAGCAGUGAGGAAUAUUGGUCAAUGGGCGAGAGCCUGAACCAGCCAAGUAGCGUGCAGGAUGACGGCCCUAUGGGUUGUAAACUGCUUUUAUAAGGGAAUAAAGUGGGUCACGUGUGACUUUUUGCAUGUACCUUAUGAAUAAGGACCGGCUAAUUCCGUGCCAGCAGCCGCGGUAAUACGGAAGGUCCGGGCGUUAUCCGGAUUUAUUGGGUUUAAAGGGAGCGUAGGCCGGAGAUUAAGCGUGUUGUGAAAUGUAGACGCUCAACGUCUGCACUGCAGCGCGAACUGGUUUCCUUGAGUACGCAUAAAGUGGGCGGAAUUCGUGGUGUAGCGGUGAAAUGCUUAGAUAUCACGAAGAACUCCGAUUG
RNAcentral lists this ribosomal RNA (696 nucleotides) under uncultured Bacteroidales bacterium. RNAcentral describes it as "bacterial SSU rRNA". It matches the Rfam family "Bacterial small subunit ribosomal RNA", at positions 32 to 715 of the family's 1533-position model. The record is from RNAcentral. Lineage: Bacteria; Pseudomonadati; Bacteroidota; Bacteroidia; Bacteroidales.